CGAAUGUUCAUCACUUGACUGGUGGCUGUAGGUGAAGUUGGUUGCUACCAUAGAAUAUUAGAAUGGCGGUUGGUUUUUUAUUUUAUAACAUCAGUGAAAAGUGAAAAAGUUACCACAAAUGGUUUUCUACAGUAGGGAGGCAUGUGGGUAGAACAACCCCUCUUGGAAAAAUCACCGCCAUUUUGGAGUAACCACAUGGUGAACUCAUAGCCCUUCGACACCUAGGGAAACCACUACAGCCACAGUCAAGUCACCAUGGGAAUAUGUCGAUUUGGGAGCAAGCGAUGGGACAUUCCAGUCCCACUUUUGUCAUCUUUACACCGGUAUCUACGGGAAACAUGGUUCAGCACCUCCUCUGGUGCUAAUUUUAUGGGUUGCAGCAUCAGACUUCACCUUGAGGUCGUCCGAUGAAGGGAUUGGUUUGGGAACAUUUAGUGUUGUGCUUUAAGUAACUAUGGGUUUUUAAGUUUCAGACAUUUGGUUUAAUGAAAUAUGUUUUUUUUUCCAGAUUUAGUUUACCUCUGGUUUUUUUUAUAUAACAUAUUUGUAUAUUAUGGUAUUAAGUUCCCAAACUCAUGUAUAAACCUGCGGUAUCGUAUGUUGAGCUCGGCAUAUUUGCCAAAAAGGUAUUAGGUUUCAUAUUUUAUUGGUAAUUUAGACGAUUUUAUGUCAUUAUAUAAAUUUAGGUUGUAUUAUUUGCUUGUUUCCCAAAUAUUUUUUUGUUAUUCGCUUUAUUCCAUUUGUUCGGAUAAUUUAGGUCAUCGUCAGUAUUUAUCUCAACUUCAUUUCUAUUUCAUUCAUUGUACUUUUAACUUACUUACUUCAUUAGUGUAUUUUCCCUUAGUGAGGCUUGGGCCUAUUUAGUUGUAUUAUUUUCAUCGUUGUCAGUUUCAUUUAGUUGUACGUAGCAAGCGUACUAUGACCAUUUGGUAGAAGACUCAUGUAAGUUGUACCCUAUAUGUAAGCAAGAGGUAUCAAAUUUUGUAAAAGAUAACAUUAGUGUUGUUGUAUUGUAUAAUAUCCUCUUUAAAAUAUAACAUAUGUCAUGUUAGAGUCACAGCAUAAUAUGAACUUGCUUAACUCAGAGAUUGUUAAAAAUCUGGUAGUUAAUUUUAAUAAAUGUUUAUUUAUUUUGUAUAUCAUUUAUUUUUAUUAUUCCUUUAUGUUCAUUAUUACAGGUUUGAUAUAUCUAAUAUUUGACAGCAGUAUAAGAUACCUGGGAAAAUGAUCGAAGAUCAUUUUCAUGGCGCCCAUGAUUUGUUAGAUUUAUUUAUCUUGUUCGUCUUUAGAAAUUAUUCAUCUUCAUUCCUCUUCAGUACAUUAUUCUUAUUUUAUUAUUUCAUCUUUUAGUCAUUAUUACUAUCUACAUAGAGCUACUGUUCUUCGACAGGCAUGCAAACGAGCCGUAUCCAUCCUUGAGUGUCAAGUUGCUCUCUUGCAUCUAUAGCUAGCCAACUCUAUUCAGUUUGCCUCUGUCUCUUCCCACUUUACUUCUAUCCCUUCUAAUCCCCCUUUCUUAAGUACAACUUUAGUAGUAUUUUUUAUUUUUUCUUACUUCGGCUUCUCAACGUAGAAGUCACUGCAUCCUUUUCUUUACACACCCCACUCUGUUUUCAUUUUUAUACCAGUUCUUUUCUUUAGUCUUUUUUUUCCUUACUUCUGUUGGAGUAUAUCUUUUUACUUUCACUCCAACAGAAGUUUUCUUCUUUUUGUUACACUGGCUGCCCAAUGCGUGGUGCCAACCGUUUUAUGGUUCUAAGACAGUAGUUCUUUUAGUUCAUUUUUCUUUUAUUGGAAUUUUCUGUUUUAUUAACUUUUGAUAUCUUUGUAUACAUGUUACUUCUGAUUUAUUUUUGGUCUUUAAAUUUUUAUUAAUACUAAACAGGUAGACUUAUACUGCUUUUGGUUUUGGUUAGUUUAUUUUUGAUACCUCAGUUUCAGUUAUAGUGGUACAGCUCAUAUUUUAGUUUGAAUUUUGUAUUUUUAUUGGAAACUUAUUUGUGUAUUUAGACUGAGUAUACAUAUCUGACAUAUGUUCUUUUAUUAUGGAUUUUUAGUCCUUCUACCAAUGGUAGUAUGUUUGCACGUACAAUUAAUUAUUGACUAUAUGCAUUUUUUUUCUAGUAUGGUUAUAUUUUAUACAUAACUAGAAAUCAUUUUCAGUAUUUAGGUAUUUUAUUUACGCUAUUGAUUUGAUUAUUUUUAUAUAUUUGCUGGCAUUUUUUAUUUGUUGGUGUGUCGCUAAUAUUUUCUCCAUAUGUAUAUUUGUCUUACAAACUUUAGAUUAUAUUUUAUAUUUGUUAUUUUUGAUAUUUGGAUUGUUUGGUAAGACAGGCACACACCACAAAGCAAUAUCAGUCCAGAACAUUAGCGUCUAUAAUACAUGAUACGUUGAAUUCGCAUGGUUCGGAUGAUUACAGAUGUUCAUCCAUAAUUUAUGUUCUUUAAUUGGUAGUGUUAAACAUAACAAUUAUAAUUAUUGUAUGGUAAAGUAGUUCCAUUAUCCAUCUCAGCUUCUAGUUUUGUUAAUUUUGACAAUAAUAUUAUAUCAGUGUGGGUACCAUAAUGUACUUAAUGCUUUUAUAAAUCAGAUACUUUAGGUUGAGAUUCAAAUAUAAAUUCUUUAUUAGUUAGGAAACAUUGAUACUAUUUUUCUAUUAAGUUGUAGAACAAUCUUCAGAAGAAGAUUGCCUUGAAACAGAGUUGUUCAAGCUAAUCUCUUCUUCUGUUUGUCUUUAGCUUAUUAGCUCAAUCUUUAGUAUGGUUAUAAAUUUUAGUCCAAUAUUUUUUUUUAUCAUCUGAUAAUGCAGGUACCCACAUAUAUUGCUUGAUUUCAUCUUUGGCUUAGUUUUGAUGACUUUUAUUUAUUACUUAUUAAUUUAAUUAUUAUGUAGUACUUUAUGUAUGAGUUUAUUUUUUUUUGGUAUUAGGUAUGGUGCAUUUUAAUUAUUAUUAUGAGUCAAUAUUAUUAAUUGCUAAUCCUGUCAGUAGGAUUAUCCAAUUAAUAAAAACUUCACUUGUAUUUUUGUCUAGUUUUUGCACACCUAACCCUUAAGUUAGAAGGGUUGUUGAUUAUUAUAUAUUUAUAUAUAUUUGGAUAGGUGAACUCAUACAAGUACUCUUGUUUAAUAUGGAUAUUAUUAUGGAACUAUGUUGCACUACCAUAUCUCAGGUUAUAUUAUUUUGAAUAUUUGAUUACUGACUAAUUUUUUAUCAUAUUUAUAUCUUGUUAUUGCAUUUGCCAUAUUGGAAAGAUGUGGUUGUUAAUUUGUUAUUGGGUUACUCUAUUGACAUUUGUCACAGAUUUCUUAAGUACAUUAUAAUAAUUCAGACCCUUAUUUCCUAUACAUUAUGAUUCUGGAAUUAGUUUGGAAUUUUGAUGUAAGUAUGUGUGAAUUCUUAAGUCUUUCAUAUUAUUUCCUCUAAGAAUUAGUCUGUGUGUACUAGGAUUUAGUGAAUACGUGGGUUCGAAGUUGUUGUUCGGUACGUGGCCAGUGCUGUUCGAUUAAAUUUCGUAAUCUAUGUCUUUCAUGGCUGAGUAUGCAGAUGUUUAUUUAUCAUAAUAUUUCUGGUCAGCAAAUGACGGGCCCAUUUCCUAACCAUUCUAGUGUUAUUCCCAUUAUUCCAGUUACAUUUUUACCAUUUGAUAGGGAAGUGUUUAGUUUAUAUUAUGUCUCGUACUUCAUAGUAUGUCUGUUGCUGACUAUCCCUAUACAUAGUAGAUCCCUUAAUUUAGUAUUUGAGGUGUUUAGACAAAUGAGUUGUUCAUUUGAGUAUAUUCCCAUUUCUUUCCUUAGGCAUUAGUUUUGUUAUUUAGAUUUUGGAACAUUUCCUGAAUAAUUCCAUGUAUGUGAGAAUGCAUGAAUCUGCAGUUUUAUUUAAAACUUGUUGCUCGUUCUCGUCAAUUUUUUUUUCUUAUCACUUAUCCUAUUUUUUUUUCCUAUCACCUAUCACAUAUUUUUUUUGCCUAUCACUUAUCAUAGUGUCAUAGAACUUAUGAGUUCAUCAUGUAUUCUUUUUCUUUCUUACUUAUUCUUACAUUAUUGGUACUUUAUCUACGUCUGGUUAUUCUCACAUAUCUGUUGUAGCAACAUGCUAUAGUUCGCGAAUACCAGCACGAAUUAGUUUAUGUAGUUUCUAUAAUAUUUUAGUCAAUACACAUUAGGUAUUUAUCUUACUUUUGAUUUAGUUAGGUUACAUCUCUGUUACUUAGUCUGUUAGCAAUAUUUAUUCUGACUUAUUUUGAUUACUUAGUUUGGAUAGGUUCAUAUUACCGGAUGAGGGUGUAUGUAGACCUAAUUUAUUUAUUUUGUUCAGUAUUAGUUACCAUUGGAUCCAAUAAUUUAGUAUAUUUAGUAUUAGUAAGAAUUGGUCCAUAAAUUUGCCUGAUCGUUCUUCUUUGGAUAUACUCCUAUAUAAAUCUGGUGUCCAUUGAUAGUCCGAUUCUGGAUAAGUGUCCGAUUCUUCAUUUAUUUUGUGUAUUUGGUUGGAUAGGUUCGUAUUACCGGAUGUGGGUGUACGUAGACCUGAUCUGUUUAUGUGGUUUAGUAUUGGUGUGAAUUGGUCCAUAAAUUUGCCUGGUCGUUCUUCUUUGGAUAUGCCUUUUAUGAAUCUGGUGUCCACUGAUAGUCCGACUUUGGAUUAAGUGUCCGAUUCCACAUCUAUUUUGGUUAUUGAGUUUUGGAUUCCUUUGGUAUGUUUAUUAUUGGUAUUAUUUGACAUUAGUGAGAGUUGUUCCAUAAAUCUUCCUGAUUGUUCUUCUCUGGAUAUACUAUUAUGAAUCUGGUGUCCAUUGUUAGUUCAAUUUUGGAUUAAGUGUUCAAUUCUUUACUUAUUUUAGUUACUGAUUUUUUUUAUUCACUUUGGUACAUUUACUUUUGAUAUGGUUCGAAUUGGCUCACACCUUUCCUGGUUGUUCCGUCCUUGGAUAUAUCCUUUAUAAAUCUGAUGUCCAUGGAUAGCUCAAUUUUGGUUUUAGUGCCCAAUUCGACACUUAGUUAUUAGUAUGAACUUUAGUACAAUAUUUAGUUUGUUUGGUUUUUGAAGCAAUUCAUUAAUAUUGGUAACAGAGAGUAACAUAGUAACAUUUUAGCAUGAGUUUGAGUCAUAUAUUUUUUUAUUUCUUUUUCCUUGAACCUUAGUUUGUUCUUAUUAGGUAAUCUUGCGAAUCAACGUGGAUUGUUAGACUAUUGUAAAUUUAGUUGUUAAUAUUUUGAAGUUAAAAAAAAAAAAAAUUUUUGAGAAAAUUUUUUUUCCCGAGUAGAAGGGGAUUGUAACGGUCACGUUACUAACUUAACUCUUUAAUUAUUUUUAUAAUUAUUUUCCCUCGCUCUCCCAGUUAAAUUCUCUAAUUUCUCGUAUAGGACCACUGACGUGACGUCAUACCUCGGUGAUGGAACGUACUUCACCUAUCGAGAAUUAUUUCGCGUUAUGUGAGUUUGACGUCGUAUUCUUGGAAGGAGAGACGAAUGUUCAUCACUUGACUGGUGGCUGUAGGUGAAGUUGGUUGCUACCAUAGAAUAUUAGAAUGGCGGUUGGUUUUUUAUUUUAUAACAUCAGUGAAAAGUGAAAAAGUUACCACAAAUGGUUUUCUACAGUAGGGAGGCAUGUGGGUAGAACAACCCCUCUUGGAAAAAUCACCGGUAAUAAAAUCCUUUUUAUAAUAUUUUUUUUUGUUAGCCUUGAAUAUUAAAAUAUUAGUCCCAUUGUUAAAAUUUCUUAGUCAACUCAUUAUUUGGAUUUUAUGUAGAUUAUUUCGAUUAUUAAGUAUUCAUUCAAAGAAAAUUAUACAUUAAUAUUUUUUUUGGUUAGACAUAACCAAACAUAUGCAGUCCUCAAAUUAAUAUUGGAAAUAAGUAUCAUUUCUCUGUAGGUUUUUGAACAUCCAAUAUUUUAUAAAUUCAAUAUUUUUACAGAUAUUUCCUUAAAUUAAUCAUAUUCAAAUUACAAAUUCCAUGUCAUUUGUUCAUGUAUUCACACCCAAAAUAGUUCAAGGUUACUUGAGAUUGGUUUUUGUUACAUUUUUAAUGGUCGGUUUUUCUAUACUAUUGCUUCUAAAAAGUUCCUCAAUUAUUUCUUCUUCCCUUUACUUUUUGCUCAUGUUUGAAAUGAGAAAUAAAACUGGGAAUAUUUUUUAGCCAUUUUGGAGUAACCACAUGGUGAACUCAUAGCCCUUCGACACCUAGGGAAACCACUACAGCCACAGUCAAGUCACCAUGGGAAUAUGUCGAUUUGGGAGCAAGCGAUGGGACAUUCCAGUCCCACUUUUGUCAUCUUUACACCGGUAUCUACGGGAAACAUGGUUCAGCACCUCCUCUGGUGCUAAUUUUAUGGGUUGCAGCAUCAGACUUCACCUUGAGGUCGUCCGAUGAAGGGAUUGGUUUGGGAACAUUUAGUGUUGUGCUUUAAGUAACUAUGGGUUUUUAAGUUUCAGACAUUUGGUUUAAUGAAAUAUGUUUUUUUUUCCAGAUUUAGUUUACCUCUGGUUUUUUUUAUAUAACAUAUUUGUAUAUUAUGGUAUUAAGUUCCCAAACUCAUGUAUAAACCUGCGGUAUCGUAUGUUGAGCUCGGCAUAUUUGCCAAAAAGGUAUUAGGUUUCAUAUUUUAUUGGUAAUUUAGACGAUUUUAUGUCAUUAUAUAAAUUUAGGUUGUAUUAUUUGCUUGUUUCCCAAAUAUUUUUUUGUUAUUCGCUUUAUUCCAUUUGUUCGGAUAAUUUAGGUCAUCGUCAGUAUUUAUCUCAACUUCAUUUCUAUUUCAUUCAUUGUACUUUUAACUUACUUACUUCAUUAGUGUAUUUUCCCUUAGUGAGGCUUGGGCCUAUUUAGUUGUAUUAUUUUCAUCGUUGUCAGUUUCAUUUAGUUGUACGUAGCAAGCGUACUAUGACCAUUUGGUAGAAGACUCAUGUAAGUUGUACCCUAUAUGUAAGCAAGAGGUAUCAAAUUUUGUAAAAGAUAACAUUAGUGUUGUUGUAUUGUAUAAUAUCCUCUUUAAAAUAUAACAUAUGUCAUGUUAGAGUCACAGCAUAAUAUGAACUUGCUUAACUCAGAGAUUGUUAAAAAUCUGGUAGUUAAUUUUAAUAAAUGUUUAUUUAUUUUGUA
Long non-coding RNA from Diabrotica virgifera virgifera (western corn rootworm), 7097 nucleotides. RefSeq lists it as uncharacterized. The record is from RefSeq and is a predicted model, not a curated record. The transcript is spliced from 2 exons. NCBI's taxonomy places the organism in Eukaryota, Metazoa, Arthropoda, Insecta, Coleoptera, Chrysomelidae.